This is a non-coding RNA of Phrynosoma platyrhinos (Desert horned lizard), 72 nucleotides long. The record is from the annotation of a GenBank genome assembly. NCBI's taxonomy places the organism in Eukaryota, Metazoa, Chordata, Lepidosauria, Squamata, Phrynosomatidae.
GUCAGUGUGGCGUAGUGGUUUGAGUGCUGGACUGCGAUUCUGGAGACCAGAAUUCAAUUCCCAGCUCGGUCA